Molecule: long non-coding RNA, 217 nt
Organism: Folsomia candida
Lineage: Eukaryota; Metazoa; Arthropoda; Collembola; Entomobryomorpha; Isotomidae
Exons: 3
Source: RefSeq, a predicted model, not a curated record
UCUUGCUCUGCGCGUGUUUGGCUUGAUGAUUGCGGCAAAUUACUCACUCACACCCGUCAUCCUACUUCAAGUCGUCAGUUUGGAAAAGUUUACCCCCGCGUACGGUCUUCUCCUACUUGUGCAAGGGAUCGGAAACCUGAUCGGACCACCCAUUGCUGGCCUCCUCUACGACUACACGGGAAAGUACGCCUGGUCAUUUUGGAUCGCUGGGGUGGGA